UACGUAGGGUGCGAGCGUUGUCCGGAAUUAUUGGGCGUAAAGAGCUUGUAGGCGGUUUGUCGCGUCUGCUGUGAAAUCUCAAGGCUCAACCUUGAGCUUGCAGUGGGUACGGGCAGACUAGAGUGUGGUAGGGGAGACUGGAAUUACCGGUGUAGCGGUGAAAUGCGUAGAUAUCGGUAGGAACACCAGUGGCGAAGGCGGUCUCCUGGGGCAUUCUUGACGCUGAGGCGCGAAAGCUGGGGGAGCGAACGGG
RNAcentral lists this ribosomal RNA (253 nucleotides) under uncultured bacterium. RNAcentral describes it as "partial 16S ribosomal RNA". It matches the Rfam family "Bacterial small subunit ribosomal RNA", at positions 524 to 776 of the family's 1533-position model. The record is from RNAcentral.